GCAGGUGCCCGGCAUUGCCGGGACAAUAGGGAACGGGGUGCAACUCCCCGACAGGACCGCUGCUGUAAAGCGGAGCGCCGCGCAGAUGCGUCAUUGGCCGGCGCCGCGUCCGGGUUUCGGACGGGGCCGGGGCCGAGAAGACCGCGCGGAGGCGAUGAUGCUGAGUCAGAAGACCUGCCUGCGGAUCAA
This 189-nucleotide non-coding RNA is filed under the name bovine gut metagenome. The record is from RNAcentral.